This 1808-nucleotide long non-coding RNA is filed under the name Phasianus colchicus (ring-necked pheasant). Its description in RNAcentral is "lncRNA (ENSPCLG00000022324.1)". The record is from RNAcentral. Lineage: Eukaryota; Metazoa; Chordata; Aves; Galliformes; Phasianidae.
UGACAAUUGAGAUGCUGCCCUUACUACUUUAUUUGAAUCUUAACCCAUUACUUUAUAAGCCAUCUAUGAGGAAGGCAAGAUUUAUCAUGCCUUCUGAAGGUGUCUUGACAACAGUGACAUUACAGGCCCUGUUCUCCAGAGCCAGUUGCUGUCUUACUGCUCUUAAAUUCUCAUCACUGAUAGCUAUAAAUUUUCUCUGCAUCUUUUGAUCAGUCCAGGUCCUCAGCUGUUAUCUAGGCCUUUGAUUUCUGGAUCCUGAGGGAGUAUUGAGUCAGAGUAGUGCACUCAGUGCAGCAGUUGCCUUCUUAUUUUGGGAUGGGUGCAGCAAAGAAAGGGGCCCUGGUAGACUUGGAGUGCCUUCACUGAAGAAAUUGCAUUGGGAACUGCGUGGGUCCUGUCAGACACUCAUGAGCUCUCUGCGGAUCUCAGGAGGCUGCUGAAGGUGCCUAAGUGAGCACAGCAUGGCCACACAGUUUCUAUGCCUUGGUGCCAUGCUGCAGGGUGUCCUCUGGGCCCAGGUGCAGUGAAUAAGGAGCAUCAUGGCUGGUAGCGGCUUGGUGGUGGCCAGAAGUGCUGACUGCAUUGUCCUCACUGCUGGCUGCCACAAUGCCACUGCCCUGCCAUUCCAAAUGCCAACCGGAGCCUCCGUCCAGAAGUUACAAGGGUAGAGGCAGAAGGCAUAGCUCAUACUUUGUGUCUUGUGCUACUGGGCAAUGCCUAGGGAAGCGGGCAGCUCAGUGGCUUUGUGGCACCUGGACAUAUCCCAACAUUUCUCCCUAACAAGGCUCUCUUCUUGCCAGCACCACUGCCUAGGGCUGCAGCUGCUGCUGACCUGCUCAGGGCCAGGAGCAGACUGUUGCCACCUUACAUAAAUCUGUUCCCACCACAGGCUCCUGAGAGAGGUUGAGGGGUGACAUCUGAGCCCCUCCAAAACCAAAGCCUCAUGUCCACGCUCGCUAACGUUACCAGUUCUGCAAGUGACUUGCAUCGUGCUGAAGUGUGGACACAUCAGAGGAGAACAACCCAUCUAGCACAGGACAGCUUGGAGGAGUGGUAUUGUGCACCAGAAAUGCGAGAGGAAUUGAAGGUGAGCCCCAGACCUGCCUGUGGUCAGCGCUCUCUGACUUCGGCCACACCGCGCAGAUGGAACAACAUCCCGUGUGCCCAGCCGCUGCAUGGAGCUGCCCAUGAGCUGGCACCCUGACCCAGCAGAGAUGCUGCCAGUGCCAGCUCCACCCUGCUCGCUGCUGCCUGCCCACCUGCCUCCUUCCCCCAAGCCCACACACCACCAACACCUCCAUCUCCGUCGCUUCCCACAGCACAACUGCAACGUGGAACAGCAAGUGUGGCUUGAGCAGGCUGAGCUUGUUAAAAGUGUGGUUAGAUAAAUAGUAGGACUGCAACACUGGGAGGCUGAUUGGUAUCACAAGAUAUCACUGUCGUAUCCUGUGGCUUUUAUGUAGGGAGAUGUAGAUUUUAGCCAUCACCAUCUGGCUAUCCAACAGAUAACAACCAGAGGAAAUGGACUUGCAAAUCUUCAGUUGCGAAUAACUGAUAUAUUGUUGCCAGUAAUUUGAGGACCUGGUAAACUGCCAGAAGGAAAAGUUUUUUGUUUUUUUUUUUGAAUAUGAUCAGACUUUUAAUACAUGUCAGCUUUUGACUAUGUAUAAAUUAAAGAAACUCCCUAAUUAUUCACCAUACAUUUUAAACUGUGUGUCCAGAGAAGUCAGAUCCUGUAAAACCCAGAUGUGGCUGUAUUAUCAGCUCCAAAUUCAGGCAAGUAAAUAAAGUAGCAGAUGUACGACUCA